UACGAAGGGAGCUAGCGUUGUUCGGAAUCACUGGGCGUAAAGCGCACGUAGGCGGAUGUGUCAGUCAGGGGUGAAAUCCCGGAGCUCAACUUCGGAACUGCCUUUGAUACAGCACAUCUGGAGUCCGGAAGAGGUGGGUGGAAUUCCUAGUGUAGAGGUGAAAUUCGUAGAUAUUAGGAAGAACACCAGUGGCGAAGGCGGCUCACUGGACCGGAACUGACGCUGAGGCGCGAAAGCGUGGGGAGCAAACAGG
RNAcentral lists this ribosomal RNA (253 nucleotides) under uncultured bacterium. RNAcentral describes it as "partial 16S ribosomal RNA". It matches the Rfam family "Bacterial small subunit ribosomal RNA", at positions 524 to 776 of the family's 1533-position model. The record is from RNAcentral.